GCGGCCGUAGCCAAAGGGUUAAGGCACCGGAUUGUGGUCCCGGUAUGUGUGAGUUCAAUUCUCAUCGGCCGCCCCA
This 76-nucleotide transfer RNA is filed under the name Acholeplasmatales bacterium. Its description in RNAcentral is "tRNA-His". It matches the Rfam family "tRNA". From Rfam's summary of the family: Transfer RNA (tRNA) molecules are approximately 80 nucleotides in length. Their secondary structure includes four short double-helical elements and three loops (D, anti-codon, and T loops). Lineage: Bacteria; Bacillati; Mycoplasmatota; Mollicutes; Acholeplasmatales. The record is from RNAcentral.